GGCUCCAUAGCUCAGUGGUUAGAGCGCCUGUCUAGUAAACAGGAGGUCGGGGGUUCGAUCCCCCCUGGAGCCU
Molecule: non-coding RNA, 73 nt
Organism: Ruditapes philippinarum (Manila clam)
Lineage: Eukaryota; Metazoa; Mollusca; Bivalvia; Venerida; Veneridae
Source: the annotation of a RefSeq genome assembly